Molecule: long non-coding RNA, 466 nt
Organism: Cercocebus atys (sooty mangabey)
Lineage: Eukaryota; Metazoa; Chordata; Mammalia; Primates; Cercopithecidae
Exons: 2
Source: RefSeq, a predicted model, not a curated record
AGCAUACUCAAUGUGACAAUGAUGAGGAUGAAGACUUUUAUGACGAUCCACUUCCACUUAAUAAACAAUGAAAACAGCAUGUACCUGACUUAUCUAAAGACCUGGAUGAGUUAAGAAGUGGACUCAGGACUUAAAGACAGAUGUUUUGAAUUCAGAGUUCUUUCUCCAGCAAAAGAGAACCUGCAAGUGUAUGUUAAGAAACACUUUGGAGAAAUAAUAGCUCUUCGAGAAAUAACAAAAAAUGGGAGGGACACAAGUAUACUUGAGUCAGUUUCCGUACUAAUGUUCAAAAAGAUGAACUGGUAUGUAAUGAAAUUAAGCAUCUGAAACUGGGAAGUUUGAUGUUAAAUCCUUCUAAAACUCAAAAAGCACAGGUAAAUACUUGCUUGGAGGGCAUUAGAAAAGAAUGUUCAAGCAAAAUUUCCUAAUGCUGGUGAAAUAUAAGUAUAAUAUAACAUAAACUCAA